Molecule: ribosomal RNA, 253 nt
Filed under: uncultured bacterium
Lineage: Bacteria
Description: partial 16S ribosomal RNA
Rfam family: Bacterial small subunit ribosomal RNA
Source: RNAcentral
UACGAGGGGGGCGAGCGUUGUUCGGAAUUAUUGGGCGUAAAGGGGGCGUAGGCGGUUUGGUAAGUCUUAUGUGAAAUCUACAGGCUCAACUUGUAGUCUGCAUGAGAAACUGCCGGGCUUGAGUAUGGGAGAGGUGAGUGGAAUUCCUGGUGUAGCGGUGAAAUGCGUAGAUAUCAGGAGGAACACCUGUGGCGAAAGCGGCUCACUGGACCAUAACUGACGCUGAUGCACGAAAGCUAGGGGAGCAAACAGG